ACAGCAGCCGCCGCGGGAAUACGGAGGAUCCAAGCGUUAUCCGGAAUCAUUGGGUUUAAAUGGUCCGUAGGCGGUCUUGUAAGUCAGUGGUGAAAGCCCAUCGCUCAACGGUGGAACGGCCAUUGAUACUGCAGGACUUGAAUUAUUGGGAAGUAACUAGAAUAUGUAGUGUAGCGGUGAAAUGCUUAGAGAUUACAUGGAAUACCAAUUGCGAAGGCAGGUUACUACCAAUUGAUUGACGCUGAUGGACGAAAGCGUGGGUAGCGAACAGGAUUAGAUACCCCAGUAGUCCCUGUCUCUUAUAC
This 305-nucleotide ribosomal RNA is filed under the name uncultured bacterium. RNAcentral's name for it is "partial 16S ribosomal RNA". It matches the Rfam family "Bacterial small subunit ribosomal RNA", at positions 508 to 807 of the family's 1533-position model. The record is from RNAcentral.